This 1212-nucleotide long non-coding RNA is filed under the name Hordeum vulgare. RNAcentral describes it as "long non-coding RNA (HVUL_LNC005990)". The record is from RNAcentral. Lineage: Eukaryota; Viridiplantae; Streptophyta; Magnoliopsida; Poales; Poaceae.
GAGACUUGGGUGGUGUUCCUCGUGGCCGUGUCCACAUCGGCCUGCAUAUGAUCCGCUAGGACCAACCACAAACAGUUGUGAGGCCACCGCGGUACCAUUGGCCACCAGCACUCCUGCUGCACCAGAUCUAGAGUCCGUCGUGGUGGAUCCAUCGGCAACCAUCCAACAACGGCAAGGUGAUGUAAAUCAUUGUGCCUUACUUUCAUUGUUUUUUUCUUUUAUAGGGACCAGUGUGACUCGCCAGACGAGGACUCCCCUAGUCUUCCAAGGAGCACGCUAGCGGCGAGCUCUUCGGAGAUGGAGGUCAAUCCUUCCCUCGCUCAAGACAAGGUAGGGGAGUUCCAUCACACACUCCUCCCCCGGUGUUUGAUGUCGGGGAGGAAGUCAAUACCCCCAUGUGCGAGGACCAAACCUUGGUCAUGGAGGGACAAGCAAAGGACAGGGAGAUAAGUUUCACUCUCUUCCUGAAGAAUCAACGAUCAUUCGCAUGGUGUCUCUGAUUCACUUAGUUUUAUAGCCACGCGAUCAAAAAGUGAUGCUCACUCCUCCUUGACGAUGAGGCGUCGAGCACUUUGUUGCCACCGCUUUGUCAUGGAUAGGCUGAGUUGCGGAAGCGCAAACAUGCGGUGGAGGUGUGUUUGACAAGCUCCUUCAUCCUUCCCGGCCACCAUGCCCUCCUCGGGACGGCCCUAAGCUAGUUUCGGUGUGUCGAAGCUGGUGCAAUUGAGGUGUUCCUCGGCCUUGCUAAAGGCUUUGAGGUAUGUUUGUUUCUUUAUAUAUGCAACUUGAUUUUGCUUUAUGGUUCAAAUACCUACUACUGUAAGUAUACUUAGUAACACGCAAGGAAGAUGUCCAAGCAUCAUCCGAAGAUAUCAAGAAAAUGCUUUGCUUUCAGUAAAGACCACAUCAAAAGAUUUCUUUGAAUUGCAAUUACACUAGCCCUCGAGCCUUGUGUCAGUUUACCAAACUCGCUUGAGGGUCAAAUCAUAACUUGAUGCCUAUUUUUAAAGAGUGUGAAUAUGAAGUAACCCGAAGAGUCAUGUUUGUUGCGCAAGGAUCCGACAGGAGGAUUGGAUCUAGUCUUUUAAAUGGGUGCUCUCUUUAAUCAGGCUUCUCCUACUUGUGAUAGGCGUUGAUAAUUCUCAAGUGCAAGGAAUCAUCGUAGCACUUUCCAAAGAUGAAAGCGAUAAGUAUAGAGUGUCGAACCCACAC